UCCCUUGUGGCUUAGAAGGUAAAGAAUCUGCCUGCAGUGCGGGAGACCCAGGUUCAAAUCCUGAGUCGGGAA
Molecule: transfer RNA, 72 nt
Filed under: Ovis aries (sheep)
Lineage: Eukaryota; Metazoa; Chordata; Mammalia; Artiodactyla; Bovidae
Rfam family: tRNA
About the family: Transfer RNA (tRNA) molecules are approximately 80 nucleotides in length. Their secondary structure includes four short double-helical elements and three loops (D, anti-codon, and T loops).
Source: Rfam by way of RNAcentral